GACGAACGCUGGCGGCGUGCCUAAUACAUGCAAGUCGAACGAGAGCGACCGGUGCUUGCACUGGUCAAUCUAGUGGCGAACGGGUGAGUAACACGUGGGUAACCUGCCCAUCAGAGGGGGAUAACAUCCGGAAACGGAUGCUAAAACCGCAUAGGUCUUCGAGCCGCAUGGCUUGAAGAGGAAAAGAGGCGCAAGCUUCUGCUGAUGGAUGGACCCGCGGUGCAUUAGCUAGUUGGUGAGGUAACGGCUCACCAAGGCCGUGAUGCAUAGCCGACCUGAGAGGGUGAUCGGCCACAUUGGGACUGAGACACGGCCCAAACUCCUACGGGAGGCAGCAGUAGGGAAUCUUCCGCAAUGGACGCAAGUCUGACGGAGCAACGCCGCGUGAGUGAAGAAGGUUUUCGGAACGUAAAACUCUGUUGUUAGAGAAGAACAAGUGCUAGAGUAACUGUUAGCGCCUUGACGGUAUCUAACCAGAAAGCCACGGCUAACUACGUG
Molecule: ribosomal RNA, 498 nt
Filed under: uncultured bacterium
Lineage: Bacteria
Description: partial 16S ribosomal RNA
Rfam family: Bacterial small subunit ribosomal RNA
Source: RNAcentral